GAUGAACGCUGGCGGCGUGCCUAAUACAUGCAAGUCGAGCGAACAGAUAAGGAGCUUGCUCCUUUGACGUUAGCGGCGGACGGGUGAGUAACACGUGGGUAACCUACCUAUAAGACUGGGAUAACUUCGGGAAACCGGAGCUAAUACCGGAUAACAUUUGGAACCGCAUGGUUCUAAAGUGAAAGAUGGUUUUGCUAUCACUUAUAGAUGGACCCGCGCCGUAUUAGCUAGUUGGUAAGGUAACGGCUUACCAAGGCAACGAUACGUAGCCGACCUGAGAGGGUGAUCGGCCACACUGGAACUGAGACACGGUCCAGACUCCUACGGGAGGCAGCAGUAGGGAAUCUUCCGCAAUGGGCGAAAGCCUGACGGAGCAACGCCGCGUGAGUGAUGAAGGGUUUCGGCUCGCAAAACUCUGUUAUUAGGGAAGAACAAAUGUGUAAGUAACUGUGCACGUCUUGACGGUACCUAAUCAGAAAGCCACGGCUAACUACGUG
RNAcentral lists this ribosomal RNA (497 nucleotides) under uncultured bacterium. RNAcentral's name for it is "partial 16S ribosomal RNA". It matches the Rfam family "Bacterial small subunit ribosomal RNA", at positions 28 to 507 of the family's 1533-position model. The record is from RNAcentral.